Molecule: ribosomal RNA, 206 nt
Filed under: Acinetobacter baumannii
Lineage: Bacteria; Pseudomonadati; Pseudomonadota; Gammaproteobacteria; Moraxellales; Moraxellaceae
Description: partial 16S ribosomal RNA
Rfam family: Bacterial small subunit ribosomal RNA
Source: RNAcentral
UAACUGAAGAGUUUGAUCAUGGCUCAGAUUGAACGCUGGCGGCAGGCUUAACACAUGCAAGUCGAGCGGGGGAAGGUAGCUUGCUACUGGACCUAGCGGCGGACGGGUGAGUAAUGCUUAGGAAUCUGCCUAUUAGUGGGGGACAACAUCUCGAAAGGGAUGCUAAUACCGCAUACGUCCUACGGGAGAAAGCAGGGGAUCUUCGG